GAUGAACGCUGGCGGCGUGCCUAAUACAUGCAAGUCGAGCGAACAGACGAGGAGCUUGCUCCUUUGACGUUAGCGGCGGACGGGUGAGUAACACGUAGGAAACCUACCUAUAAGACUGGGAUAACUUCGGGAAACCGGAGCUAAUACCGGAUAAUAUUUCGAACCGCAUGGUUCGAUAGUGAAAGAUGGCUUUGCUAUCACUGAUAGAUGGACCUUCGCCGUAUUAGCUAGUUGGUAAGGUAACGGCUUACCAAGGCAACGAUACGUAGCCGACCUGAGAGGGUGAUCGGCCACACUGGAACUGAGACACGGUCCAGACUCCUACGGGAGGCAGCAGUAGGGAAUCUUCCGCAAUGGGCGAAAGCCUGACGGAGCAACGCCGCGUGAGUGAUGAAGGUCUUCGGAUCGUAAAACUCUGUUAUUAGGGAAGAACAAACGUGUAAGUAACUGUGCACGUCUUGACGGUACCUAAUCAGAAAGCCACGGCUAACUACGUG
This 497-nucleotide ribosomal RNA is filed under the name uncultured bacterium. RNAcentral describes it as "partial 16S ribosomal RNA". It matches the Rfam family "Bacterial small subunit ribosomal RNA", at positions 28 to 507 of the family's 1533-position model. The record is from RNAcentral.